CAGCAUCCCUCUCCUGCCUCUUAGAAUCCAGGUGCCCAAGGAAAUCCUUAGGCAGAGGUUUUGGGUUAGAUGAUAAAAGCAAGGGAUGAAAACAGAAAAUCUGGGAGAUGUCUCACCAGUUUUACCACAGCCCCGUAAGAGUUGUGUCUAGCUCACUGUUUGGUACUGCGUCAGAGGCAUUGUAUGCAAGAAUCAAGAAAAUUAAGAGGAAGGAUGUUGAAUGCCAGGCGUUCUUUAGGAAGGUUGUAAAGAGCCCCAUUUUCCAGGUCAUCAUGAUCAGCACCAUCACCUCCAACGCGGCCUUCAUGGUCUUGGGAACUGAUUACAGCAUAAUGUACAGACUCUUCAGACUCUUUGAGGUCUCAGAGAUUAUCUUUGUCUCCAUCUAUACCUGUGAGUUCCUCAUGAAGGUCUAUGUGGAGCCCAUUAAAUACUGGAGGGAUGGCUAUAACAUACUGGAUGUGGUCAUUAUCUUUAUUAUCUUGAUACCCUAUGCCCUCCGCAAGAUCAAGGGAAGACAUUACAAAUUCCUCCAUAUUGCUGAUGGUAUACAGUCUCUGCGAAUCCUCAAGCUUAUCUCCUACAGCAGAGGCAUCAGGACCCUCAUCACUGCUGUGGGGCAGACAGUCUACACGGUGGCCUCGGUGCUGACCCUCCUCUUCGUGCUCAUGUACAUCUUCGCUAUCCUGGGAUUCUGCCUGUUUGGAAUGCCAGAGAAGGGCGACCUGAAUAACUGGGGGAACCUGGCUGCGGCUUUCUUCACUCUCUUCAGUCUGGCUACGGUUGAUGGCUGGACAGACCUGCAGGAACAGCUGGACCAGCGGAAGUUUACUGUGAGCCGGGCAUUCACCAUCCUCUUCAUCUUGCUUGCUUCCUUCAUCUUCCUCAACAUGUUUGUGGGUGUAAUGAUCAUGCACACAGAGGACUCCAUCAAAAAGUUUCAGCGGGAGCUGAUGGUAGAGAGGCAUGUGACACUUAUGGAGGAGAAGCAGAUGAUUCUGAGGCGCCAGCAAGAGGAGGUCAACAAGCUGGUGAACAUGCAGGAAAGCGGUGGCAAGAGCUUCACUGAGAUGGUGGAGGAAUUCAAGAAGACCCUGCGGCACACGGACCCCAUGGUCCUGGAUGAAUUUGGCACUAGCCUGCCCUUCAUCGAUGUCUACUUGUCCACUCUGGAUAACCAGGACACUACUAUCAACAAGACGUGGUCGGAACAGUGAGCACGUGGGAAGGAGAAAUGGCUGGUGAGGGUGUGACACUGGGCCCUACCCCGGAGAACCCGUGGGCUAGUGCGUGCCAUCCAGCCAUCAUCUGAGUGGAAGGACUUUGUGCUGAUGCCGAGGCAUGGGCCUGAGGUGGCAAAGCUGAGAUUCCAAGAGGUGAUACAAAGGAUUGUCCAAGAGAGGAGGAAGAACAGAGCUUCAACCCAGCCUGCCUGGCUCCUCAGCCACUCUGCACGCAGCAGCCUCCACAGGAAUCCUUUGUCCUGUUUUAUAGGUGGGCAAGCUGGCACUAAGUGAGACCCAGGCAGCCAAGAUCAGCAUCCAGUCAGUAUCUGAACACAGGCCACACACGCACCCCUUUGUUCUGUUGGAUCACAGUGACCUUUUUCUUUCUCGUUAAAACUAUUUCUUGAACUUUAAAAAUCAAGCCAUGAUCCCUUCUGAGUAGGCCUGCCUGGCUGGGAGGGAGGGGGCUCACACAGGCCUGGUCUGGCUAGUUCCUUGGCCCCUUCUCAGUGCCUGGUGGAGCCCUCUGAAGUCCGGUUGGUCCUGGAGCCCCAGGAACCCUAGGGAGUGAGAGGCCGCAGGAAGCAAUCAGCGUGUGUGGAGAGGGUGGUGACUGUGGUGCCUAAUCAGGAAAUUACAGCCCAGGCAGAGAGGGUUUGGCCUCCACGGUGCCUUUCCCUGGACUUGAGUACAGCAGAACCACACGGAGGCUUGGCUGUGUCCAAGUGGGCGUGUUGAGCAGGCACCAGUGGUCCAGCGAGCAGGGCCAGCCUCCCUGGAGGGGUAACCGAUGAGAGCUCGCUGGUGGGUGGGAGCUGUGGCACCUGGACGAGGCACCUUGAAAAGCUGCUGAAGCUUGGUUGGAGUGCCCCCCCCCCACUAUUGCCAGGAAAGGAGAGAAAUAAUUAUCAGGUGUGAAAAGCCUGUGGAACUGUGUAUACACCAUGCAUGACACAACACUAUCACACACACACACACACACACACACACACACACACACACACACACACACACACACACUGUUGAUGAGUUUCCCACCCCCUAGGUAACAGAAAUGAUAGAUGUAAUCCAGUGGUGGCCUGGGUUUGAAGAAUGGGUCCCCUUUGUCCACAUCUGGCAGAACAGAUAGAUAGGUGUGGCCUCAUCAUAAGGCAAUGUGGGUUGGCUUUGAUACAUGCAUUUUCUAAGGAGCCCAGUGAUGAGGGAAGGAGAUGCUUGAAUGGGCAUCCUUGUGACUGUGCAACAGAAGGGAAUGAGAAAUCACCUCACACUCAUGGUGAGAAAACGGACUGAGUUACUACUGUUCGUCCAUACACAUGGAAAACGGACUGAGUUACUGUGCAUCCAUACACGUGGCCGUUAGAAGAGUUUGUUGAUAAAAGAUCAUCUUGGCAUUUAACUGGAAGCGUAAUCAUGGAAAUCAGCAUUUGGGGGCAAUUGUUGCUUUUGCCCCAUCCCAAUCUAAAACUUUUUGAGUGUUAAGAAUUAAUAGGUAUUUUAUGAUCAGAAAAAGUACAGAGUUUUUAUUCUGAAAAAAAUAUGUUAAAUGACAUGCACAUGUGCGCUUAUGUGUGCACUUGAGGUUGCAUGCACAUCUGUGAUAGGCGAGGGUAUUUCAGACAGAAGGGAAAGAGUAUGCAGAGACCUGAGGUGUUGGUGAGGCCACACGCUGCUUACAGGAUGAGGGGCCCUGUAAGCAAAUGGGGAGAGCAGAUUGCAUAGGACCCCGAGAGUCUUGGGUGUCUGUAGCAGGGCAGUGGCCUGGAGGUAGCUGUGUUCAAGGUUGGCACCUGGCAUUUUAGGCUCUCCAGGAAUUCCCUGUGCCUCGUUCAGACUUACCUCAGCUGCACACUUGUUCCCACACCUGCCUGUCCACACCACACCCCCUCUUAUAUGAAGCCUUCUCAGAUCACUCCUGCUAUCCUUGGACUUCUUCUGCUGCCAGUUUACCCUCAACUUUUCCUGUUUUUCCUUAAUCCUUCUCCAUGUGACAUUUCUCCUAGCAUUAGCUGGGGACAGAUGUGGUCUAUGAGGUUGGGCCCUGACGUAUACCAGCUUUAGAACCCUGACAGAGGGAGGGAGAACAUGGACAGCAAACAUCCCAUGCUCAUUUUGAGCCUUGCGAUGUCAUAGAUGUGAUUACAGAUGUGGACACAGGGACUCCAUCCAUAGGUUCCAUGGCGGUGAAUACUAUCGCCACCAUGCUGUGAGUUGUACUCAGGCUCAGCAUGGCUCCCAAGUGUGCUCUCAGUGCCUCUGACUGUUCUGUCUUUGGCUCUCACCCCCAGGUGCUGGUUGAGGGGAGCGGCAAGGUGGGGCCACCUUGUGCACUAUUUGCUCAGUAUUCAGUGAUCUCAGAGAAGGGAGGGGAUUCCAACUCACCUAGGAGGAACUCUGGGCCUCAGGAGAGUCCAGGGCAGGGCGGCAUCUCUGUCACAUCCUUAGAUGGUACAAGGAAAAAGUGUGCUGGAGUCUGGCCUGGAGGGAGGCUGGACACACUGAGCAUGAAAGAGCAUCAUAUGGGCUCAAGCUCUAGCUCCAUGGGAGAGUGAUUGCCUAGCAUGUUCCAGACCCUGGGUUUGAUCCCAGCACCAUGGAGGGAAGGGAGGGGAAAUAGGGAAGGAUUCCUCACUCAGCAGUUCUCCAGAGGUAGGAGGUGAUGAGGAUGAUGAAUUUUGUACAUUUGACUCAGCAGCUCCCUUACAAGCCAUGCGUACUGGUCACAUCCAGGAGCAGAACACCCUGACAGGAGCUCCAGGAAGCAGCAGGCAGGUCCGGUGCCUGCCCUAGAGUGGGAAACUGCAGCGCUGUGAGAGAACCAAGGGUUUACUGUUCCGGUGACCUAACAGAAAGGACUUGGCAAGCUCUCCAAGAAAUGACAGCUGCUGAGUGGCUGGAAUCUGGGUUUCUGUUCCCACCCCCAAGGCUUCCCAGAUUCCUCAUCAGUCCUGACUAAGUGGGUAUCCAUCCCUGCCUCGAGGGGCUGGGGUAGUCUUGGGAACCUGGUGGGCUGUGGGGGUGCUGCAUCAGCCCCAUCUGGGCUCUGGACUAUGGGAGAGCCAAGAAGCUCAGAAGCAGCCUGGCACUCACCAUGGGUUGGUGACCAUCUUCUCAGCAGCCCUAGUGGCUCAACAGGACUGCCAGCCCGAGGUGGGGGGACCCUUGGCCAUACUCUCAGGGGGUUGCCCUUUACUGUGUGCACCUCUAUGAGCGCGUGUGUGCAUGAAAUUUACUGUGUGUGCCUCUAUGAGCAUGUGUGUGCAUGAAAAGGCUUCAGUGGGAUGAACAUUUCUAUUAUGCCCUGGAAAGUUCCCAGAGAGACCACAGGCAGGCAGUCUGAGGAAACCCUGGCGGGCCUGUCAGAACCUGGCAGGCAGAGAGAUGGCCAGGCGCUCUGAGGCUGCAGUGGCAGGCUUGCCAAGCACUUUCCAUGAGGCCACUGGGAUGUUAAACGCUUGGAUCAAUUAAAUGGGUUAAUAAGCUUUGUUUGACUAUGAUGGCUAAUGAUAUUAUAAUGUGAUAACAGCAAUAAUGACGCUGUUAGCUGCGACCAUCAGUGUGCCGCACUGUCCCAGGCACGGAGGGAAGCACAGCACACCCCCCUGCUCGGGCCCCAUUUUCCACUCAUAAAACCCCAUUCUUCAAAGCUGUUCCAAUCCAACUCCCUGUAUCCAUUUUCAGAACAAAUUACCAACACUUAAAAAAAUUGGUCCAUUUUGCAUGGAUGCCAAGCUCAAAUGACUAUUACUUCCCCCCUGUGUUUGAGAUGUAAAAGGGGGUAGGGACAGGGGCAGAAGGGGACCUGGGAUGGUGGAGAGGAAAAGCAGGCGAGGGGGAACACAGGAGUGGAGCGUGAAGGAAGAAGGGGAAGCGAGUUUCUCAGUUCAGUAAAAAUGUAUUUCUGGAAUAUUUCAAUUCAGUUUACUUGGGCAGAAAAAUUAGGAAUGGUGGACUUAUUAAGCGGAGGAAGCGCAGCUAUUUUUAGUAGGGUUGUAAAACCUUGGUAAUUUGGACCUCUUUCAUAAGGAUUCCGUGAUCAUGCCAGCAGGCAGGCAGGCAGGCUGUGUGUGUGUGUGCACACGCGAGUGCAUGUGUGUAGGCAGGUAGGGCUACCUAGGUGGCUGAGUUGGGAGGACAGAGGUGACCCUGAGGAACAAAAAGUGGGGAGAGAUGGACCCCAGCUCAGCAACUGGUCAAUACAAACGAUUCUUUCUCAACACGCUUACUGGAACCUACUCAUUUUUGUUUAAAGAAGGCUGUAUUAGAAAACAAAAAUGUGCUUUCUGCAAAAAAAACCAUUCAUAUAGAUUUACUUGACAAUUAUCACGCUACACUGUUCUGCCCGAAAUGGGGAAGAAUCCCAAGGCACUCAGUAUAUUUCAUUUUAUUAUGUUUUGAGACAAAGUCUCACUGUGUAGCCUUGGCUGGCCUGGAACUCUAUGUGGAAGAGGCUGGCCUUGAACUCACAGAGAUCCACCUGCUUCUACCUCCUGAGUGCUGAGAUUCAAUGUGUGAGCUGCCAUGUCCAGCAUUGGUAGUUCUAGGUAGGUGUCUUGGGCUGAGGACAUGGACACUGGGCAGAAGUCCUUCAGCUUUAGUCUGUGGAUUAUAGGUUUUUCCAUUCUAAAAAAUAUUUAUUGCUUUAUUUCAGUGUUAUAAAAGUAUUAUAUGUGUGAAAAGGAAAAACUUAAGAAAAUGAGAAAAACUUCUUUCUCAGUUUCCAAAAGUAGCUAGUGUUAAGUUUCCUGAGAUUCCUCUAUGCGUAUAACAAUAGAAAUUGUUGCAUGAAUCCUAAAUGUUCUUACAAUAAAAACCCGGAGCCAGAUAUUGGGGUAAAUGCUGAAAGAUCAGAAGAAACAAGCCACGGCCACUUCUCACCUUGCCAACU
Peromyscus maniculatus bairdii (prairie deer mouse) is the source of this 6114-nucleotide non-coding RNA. NCBI's taxonomy places the organism in Eukaryota, Metazoa, Chordata, Mammalia, Rodentia, Cricetidae. The record is from RefSeq and is a predicted model, not a curated record.